Saccostrea cuccullata (small rock oyster) is the source of this 664-nucleotide long non-coding RNA. RefSeq lists it as uncharacterized. Lineage: Eukaryota; Metazoa; Mollusca; Bivalvia; Ostreida; Ostreidae. The transcript is spliced from 3 exons. The record is from RefSeq and is a predicted model, not a curated record.
UCGUUUAAAGUUGUUUCACAUUGUUUAUAAUUGUGAUUAUGUUAUCCCUCACCUAUAUGUUUAAUGUCAGCUAUGCUAAAUAACCCAUUUCUGUGUAAUUUGAGAUAAUGUUUUUGUCAUGUGCUUAAAGUAUGGCCUGCUAUUCAUGUCAUCAUUUAAAAAGUCAAUCCUAAAUAAAAUCUGUCUUUAAAAAAUACAUUUUACAAAUGACAUUUAAUAUGAUUAGAGUAUAGGAAUCCAUAUAUAUAUAAGAGAUAUUAUUUUUGCAUUACAUUUAUAAGAGGCAUUGUCUCAUGUAAUUUAAAUCAUAAUAACAAAAAUGGGUUUUAUUUUUCUAUACAGUCCUCAAACCUGGAAGAUAUGUUUUGUUCCUAACCAAUCCAUUCUCUAAGUGAAGUGAAGCCUGGCUGUUGGUCUUCCUUUGGGGAAAUACACAGGGAAAAGAAAAAAAACUACUUGAGUGUUUCUACUGACCCCCUCCAGAGAUCUGCUUAUGAGUGCAUGGGGAUUGCGGUGGACCUUCAUCUCCGGUUUAAAACAGACAUUAGAGUAUGACAGAUAAAAAGUAGAAUCCAUGACCCCCCAGGCAGGGAGGUGGCUCUGACUGUAGAAUGAGCUGAAAGUAGGAGAAAAGCCGUAUUUAUACAGUGGAUGACGUCACAAU